GUGGAUAUAGCUCAGUUGGUUAGAGCACCUGGUUGUGGUCCAGGGGGUCGGGGGUUCAAAUCCCCUUAUCCACCCCA
RNAcentral lists this transfer RNA (77 nucleotides) under Candidatus Latescibacterota bacterium. Its description in RNAcentral is "tRNA-His". It matches the Rfam family "tRNA". From Rfam's summary of the family: Transfer RNA (tRNA) molecules are approximately 80 nucleotides in length. Their secondary structure includes four short double-helical elements and three loops (D, anti-codon, and T loops). Lineage: Bacteria; Pseudomonadati; Candidatus Latescibacterota. The record is from RNAcentral.